Nicotiana tabacum (common tobacco) is the source of this 2469-nucleotide non-coding RNA. The record is from RefSeq and is a predicted model, not a curated record. Lineage: Eukaryota; Viridiplantae; Streptophyta; Magnoliopsida; Solanales; Solanaceae.
GGUAGCUGCCUUCAGUCCAGGGAGACCAAGGUAGAUCUGCUGGCGUCCGCAGAGCCUAAAGUCCCCCUUCCCUGUUUUAGCUUUCUGCUGUCUCUUUUCAUUCCGAGAACAAUUGUACUUUUCUUUCCAGACCAGUGUUUGUAGGAAUUCGUAGAUGUUGGUGAAUUUGUGAUACCAGAUUUGUGGGUAGACAUGUAUUGGAUUAUUUGAAUUUGUUAUAACUCUUCCGCACUUUUCAUCUGUUUAACUGUAGUUAUUGUUUAUAUCUGUUUGGGUUGAUUGCUAAUGGGUUAAAACCUUAAUAGUUGGCUUGCCUAGCUUUCACGAGUAGACGCCAUCACAACUCCCGAGGGUGGAAAAUCCGGGUCGUGACAAAUCAGAAUUCGAGUUAGUGUUGAACAAUCUUAAUUGGCUCAAUGAUUGCCUAAUCUUCCUUUUACUGAAAACAUGUAGAGUGAUCUUAUGAUGUUUGUGAAAUUGUUUAAUAUUUUUGCCUAUUCUGGUGCUAUUUUCCUACGUCUCAUAUUUCAACGUGCCAGUAUUAUUUUGCUAAUUAGCUCUACCUGCAUUCUUUGACCAGUAGCUCUACCUACACCUUGCACCAGCUUGGAUAUGGUGCAUCUGUUUCUUGCAUUUUGUGUUAACAACUGGACAUAUUUAUGUGGAGAGGGGGCAGAAAAGCUCUUGUGGAGUGACUUCCCUCCUCCCUUUCCCCUUUUCAACAAACUGUAUGGGAGAGUGUCUCCUAUUGAGAAGAUAUUGUAGAGUAAUAUUGUAUAUCAUCCUUGCCUUACUAGCUUCUUCAAGGCUUCUACAUAGGAUGAGGCAGAAGUACCAUAUAACUUGUAUCACUUUUACAGGUUAUUUAUAGUGAGUAGUGACUAACAAAAGUAAUGGAUUCAUCCCAAUAGUGCUCUACGUUUUCACUUGUACUCUAGAAAAAAGAAAGACAUAUUUCUUUAACAUAAUGGAAAACUAACAAAUUAAAAGUGAGAUCGUGAAACCUAUUGUCUCUAUACAUCUACGAACAGAACAUAUGGUUGUGCAGUUGAGGUUUUACCUUGUUGAAUAACUUAGAACUGGCAACUAGAAAGAAUGACAUCACAAAUUAUUGGGCCGGAAAUUGGAUACCUUUUAUUCAGUGCAUUUUGAAAAUUAUGUUACUACAUAUCUCUUAAAAAUAUUUUUUUUUGAGUGUAACAGAAUAGCUAAUAACGUCAUUAAACACCUACUUUAUUCAUACCUUUACUCUAGAAACUUCUGUUAAUAUUCAUGCAAGUAGUAACUGGGUUUAUUUUGAUUUUCUAUAAUUCUACAAUUUUUUUCUGCUGUCUUUUCUUAAAUUCCCCAUAUUUUUGUUUCCUCGUUUGGGUAGGGUUGUGGUGGUGGACUGGUUGUAAAGGGUAUGCAAUGGGUUUCUUGGAAAAUAGGGGCUUCUCUUGCUGAACCAUUAAAGCUCUAAACAUUACUGGGUUAGCAUGGUUACUCCUAUGAAGCAAUUGCAGUCUAAGUUGGUCUGGGCUGAAACUUUUCACUCCUAAAAUGAACCAAAUAUAAAUCUUCUCAUGCUUGUUCUUCUCUAUGUUGGCUAAUAUAUUUACCGAAACUCCGUACAAAAAAAGUUUUUGAAUCUCUUGAACUCCCUUCCUAGUAACCAAACUGGGCAUAUAUUUUGAGGUGGAAGGUUUUGAUCAGCUAUCUGACUGGAAUAUUUGGUUCCUGCAGGCACAUGAGUUUCCAAAAGCAUGAAAGAAAUAUACUGGGAUAUCACAGGACUUUCUAUUUUGCUUAAAUGAUACUGAAGGAACGUGAAAUUAUUUGCUCUUCAGAAGGAGGUUGUAUCUGCUUGAAUUUAGCUGCAAGAUUUUUGCCUUGGCUUUAACCAUAUUUUCAGACAUAUCAUCUGUUUAGUGUAGAGAAAGAUACAUCAGAGUUGAGCCUCCCCUUUUCUUUUUCAAAUACCUGAAUGCAAUUUUAUCCUGUAUGUAAUGCGGUAGGUUUAAGUUUUUCUUUUAUUGGCAACUGUAUCUGCAGUAAAAUGUAUUUGAUUGAUUUAAGGAACCUAAGCUAACCUAGUUUUGAUUUUUGUUUUUCUUCUUUGCCUGUUAAUAUUUCUCCUGAUACGAGUCUUUUGUUGUUUGUGGCAAUAGAGCUGGGUCUCUCGGUACCAAGGUGACUUUGUUAGCAGAUUGUCAAAGAAAGUUGUCAACUCUUUGAAUGGGAAGGCAAGAUUUUGUCCUAGGAAAGACAUUUAUGUUUAAUGACUGCUCAAACUUUACAAAAGUGGUAAUAGUAUUUGAAUGUAUUGAAUUUUCAGCUGGUUUUGCUGUUAAUUCUGAUUUCUGAUUUCUUGGAAUAUUACUAUGGAAUAAUCCUUAUUUCCUUCUUUCUUUUUUGGGCCAAUUUGUUACACUGAGAAUGGAAGAGGAUGGAGUUUUAUAUUUCCAUAAUUUCUUAUUUUUUGGCCUA